Non-coding RNA from Python bivittatus (Burmese python), 353 nucleotides. Lineage: Eukaryota; Metazoa; Chordata; Lepidosauria; Squamata; Pythonidae. The record is from the annotation of a RefSeq genome assembly.
GAAGGGCCAAAGGAGAUUCUGUCAACCAAACAAUUCAUCUGAUUACAGUGGAAGUAGGGCGAGAUGUCCAGUUACAAUGCAAAUAUGAAACUUCUGUCUCCCCAUCCCUUUUCUGGUAUCAACAACAUCCAUACAGCAGCCCUCAGCUCUUGCUGGCAAGUUAUGAUUCUGAAGGACACAUUUCAGCACACCUUGACAAAGUGGAGAAGUCUUUUCAUUUGAUUAAGGGUUCUGUUGAGCUGAGAGACUCAGCUGUCUACUUCUGUGCCUUGAGUCACACAGUGAGCACUGUAGCAAGGAGGAUGGGACAAAAACCCACCCAGUGGCAAAAUGCAGAGGCUCUCACCAUAUAA